UAGUAAUGAAACCCUGAUUUAGCUAGUUGCAGACUACAUGGCAGUAUAUUUCAAGGUGCUUAAUUCUCUCAUGGAAGUCUGGGUUUGCCGUAAUGUGCUCCGCUGCCAUGUUGCCAUUAAGCAGGUAACAAAUCCAUUUUAGUUCACAAAUCGUUGUUACCAUGCUUCUAUACUCAGCUUCAGUUGAGGAUCUACUCAUGGUACUCUGCUUCUUUGCUUUCCAAGAAACUAAAGAGGGCCCUAAGAAGAUGCAAAAGCCAG
RNAcentral lists this unclassified non-coding RNA (261 nucleotides) under Hevea brasiliensis (rubber tree). The record is from RNAcentral. Lineage: Eukaryota; Viridiplantae; Streptophyta; Magnoliopsida; Malpighiales; Euphorbiaceae.